AACGAACGCUGGCGGCAUGCCUAACACAUGCAAGUCGAACGAGACCUUCGGGUCUAGUGGCGCACGGGUGCGUAACGCGUGGUAACCUGCCCUUAGGUUCGGAAUAACUCCCCGGAAGGGGUGCUAAUACCGGAUAAUGUCUUCGGACCAAAGAUUUAUCGCCUUUGGAUGGGCCCGCGUUGGAUUAGCUAGUUGGUAGGGUAAAAGCCUACCAAGGCGACGAUCCAUAGCUGGUCUGAGAGGAUGAUCAGCCACACUGGGACUGAGACACGGCCCAGACUCCUACGGGAGGCAGCAGUGGGGAAUAUUGGACAAUGGGCGAAAGCCUGAUCCAGCAAUGCCGCGUGAGUGAUGAAGGCCUUAGGGUUGUAAAGCUCUUUUACCCGGGAUGAUAAUGACAGUACCGGGAGAAUAAGCUCCGGCUAACUCCGUG
Molecule: ribosomal RNA, 433 nt
Filed under: uncultured bacterium
Lineage: Bacteria
Description: partial 16S ribosomal RNA
Rfam family: Bacterial small subunit ribosomal RNA
Source: RNAcentral